AAUCAGCAUGUGUGUUAGUGGAAGCGUCUGGAAAGGCGCGCGAUACAGGGUGACAGCCCCGUACACAAAAGCGCAUGUGCUGUGAGCUCGAUGAGUAGGGCGGGACACGUGGUAUCCUGUCUGAAUAUGGGGGGACCAUCCUCCAAGGCUAAAUACUCCUGACUGACCGAUAGUGAACCAGUACCGUGAGGGAAAGGCGAAAAGAACCCCGGCGAGGGGAGUGAAAAAGAACCUGAAACCGUGUACGUACAAGCAGUGGGAGCACCCUUUGGGGUGUGACUGCGUACCUUUUGUAUAAUGGGUCAGCGACUUAUAUUCUGUAGCAAGGUUAACCGAAUAGGGGAGCCGGAGGGAAACCGAGUCUUAACCGGGCGUUAAGUUGCAGGGUAUAGACCCGAAACCCGGUGAUCUAGCCAUGGGCAGGUUGAAGGUUGGGUAACACUAACUGGAGGACCGAACCGACUAAUGUUGAAAAAUUAGCGGAUGACCUGUGGCUGGGGGUGAAAGGCCAAUCAAACCGGGAGAUAGCUGGUUCUCCCCGAAAGCUAUUUAGGUAGCGCCUCGUGAAUUCAUCUCCGGGGGUAGAGCACUGUUUCGGCUAGGGGGCCAUCCCGGCUUACCAACCCGAUGCAAACUGCGAAUACCGGAGAAUGUUAUCACGGGAGACACACGGCGGGUGCUAACGUCCGUCGUGAAGAGGGAAACAACCCAGACCGCCAGCUAAGGUCCCAAAGUCAUGGUUAAGUGGGAAACGAUGUGGGAAGGCCCAGACAGCCAGGAUGUUGGCUUAGAAGCAGCCAUCAUUUAAAGAAAGCGUAAUAGCUCACUGGUCGAGUCGGCCUGCGCGGAAGAUGUAACGGGGCUAAACCAUGCACCGAAGCUGCGGCAGCGACGCUGAUGCGUUGUUGGGUAGGGGAGCGUUCUGUAAGCCUGCGAAGGUGGCCUGUGAGGGUUGCUGGAGGUAUCAGAAGUGCGAAUGCUGACAUAAGUAACGAUAAAGCGGGUGAAAAGCCCGCUCGCCGGAAGACCAAGGGUUCCUGUCCAACGUUAAUCGGGGCAGGGUGAGUCGACCCCUAAGGCGAGGCCGAAAGGCGUAGUCGAUGGGAAACGGGUUAAUAUUCCCGUACUUGGUGUUACUGCGAAGGGGGGACGGAGAAGGCUAUGUUGGCCGGGCGACGGUUGUCCCGGUUUAAGCGUGUAGGUGUGUGUUCCAGGUAAAUCCGGUU
Molecule: ribosomal RNA, 1226 nt
Filed under: Salmonella enterica
Lineage: Bacteria; Pseudomonadati; Pseudomonadota; Gammaproteobacteria; Enterobacterales; Enterobacteriaceae
Description: partial 23S ribosomal RNA
Rfam family: Bacterial large subunit ribosomal RNA
Source: RNAcentral